GUAAAGAGGCACUUUGCUGGCCAAGAACCCCAUGUGGGGCUGUGACAGGCAGAAGGAUGGCUCCUUGAAGAUACUCAUGUCCUAAUUCCCAGAACAUGUGAAUAUGCUACUUCAACAGCAAAAGGGACGUUGCAGAUGUAAAUUACGGACCUCGAGACCGGGAGAUUAUUCUGGAUUGUCUGGUGGACCCACUGUAAUCACAAGGUUCAUAUAAGGGAAAUAGGGAAGCAGGAGAGUCGGAGAAGGAGAUGGGAUGAUGGAGGCAGAGGUUGGAGUGAUGCAAUUGCUAGCUUUGAAGGUAGAGGAAGAGACCUUAAGCCAAGGAAUGUGGGUGGCUUCUAGAAGCUAAAAAAAGGCAAACAAACAAACAAACAACAACCCUGCAACAGAUUCUUCCCUAGACCCUCCAGAAGGAACACUGCCUUGCUAACACCUUGAUUUUAGCCCAGUAAAAUUCAUUUUGAACUUCUAACCUGCAGAACCA
RNAcentral lists this long non-coding RNA (484 nucleotides) under Homo sapiens (human). RNAcentral describes it as "non-protein coding lnc-MEX3B-1:2". Lineage: Eukaryota; Metazoa; Chordata; Mammalia; Primates; Hominidae. The record is from RNAcentral.